Molecule: ribosomal RNA, 407 nt
Filed under: Verrucomicrobiota bacterium
Lineage: Bacteria; Pseudomonadati; Verrucomicrobiota
Description: Verrucomicrobia bacterium partial 16S ribosomal RNA
Rfam family: Bacterial small subunit ribosomal RNA
Source: RNAcentral
UGGGGAAUAUUGGACAAUGGAGGGAACUCUGAUCCAGCAAUUCUGUGUGUGUGAAGAAGGUUUUAGGACUGUAAAACACUUUUAGUAGGGAGGAAAAAAAUGACGGUACCUACAGAAGAAGCAACGGCUAAAUACGUGACAGCAGCCGCGGUAAUACGUAUGUUGCGAGCGUUAUCCGGAAUUAUUGGGCUUAAAGGGCAUCUAGGCGGUAAGACAAGUUGAAGGUGAAAACCUGUGGCUCAACCAUAGGCUUGCCUACAAAACUGUUGAACUAGAGUACUGGAAAGGUGGGUGGAACUACACGAGUAGAGGUGAAAUUCGUAGAUAUGUGUAGGAAUGCCGAUGAUGAAGAUAACUCACUGGACAGAAACUGACGCUGAAGUGCGAAAGCUAGGGGAGCAAACAGG